Molecule: ribosomal RNA, 894 nt
Filed under: uncultured archaeon
Lineage: Archaea
Description: bacterial SSU rRNA
Rfam family: Archaeal small subunit ribosomal RNA
Source: RNAcentral
CCGACUGCUAUUUGGGUGAGAAUAAGCCAUGCGAGUUGAAUGGGAUACCUAAAGUUCCCAUAGCAAACUGCUCAGUAACACAUGAUCAACUUACCCUAUAGAGAAAAAUAACCUCGGGAAACUGAGGAUAAUGUUUCAUAAUUGAAUUGGCUUGGAAAAGUUUUUCAAUGAAAAGGAUAAAAAAAAUGGUUUUUAUCCGCUAUAGGAUAGGAUCGUGUUCGAUUAUGGUUGUUGGUGAGAUAAUGGCUCACCAAGCCGAUAAUCGAUAGGGGCCGUGAGAGCGGGAGCCCCGAGAUGGGUACUGAGACAACGACCCAGGCCUUACGAGGCGCAGCAGGCGCGAAACCUCCGCAAUACACGAAAGUGUGACGGGGUUACCCAAAGUGUUCAAUUUGAACUGUGGUAGGUGAGUAAUGUCCCCUACUAGAAAGGAGAGGGCAAGGCUGGUGCCAGCCGCCGCGGUAAAACCAGCUCUUCAAGUGGUCGGGAUAAUUAUUGGGCUUAAAGUGUCCGUAGCCGGUUUAGUAAGUUCCUGGUAAAAUCGGGUAGCUUAACUAUCUGCAUGCUAGGAAUACUGCUAUACUAGAGGGCGGGAGAGGUCUGAGGUACUACAGGGGUAGGGGUGAAAUCUUAUAAUCCUUGUAGGACCACCAGUGGCGAAGGCGUCAGACUGGAACGCGCCUGACGGUGAGGGACGAAAGCCAGGGGAGCGAACCGGAUUAGAUACCCGGGUAGUCCUAGCUGUAAACGAUGCGGGCUAGGCGUUGGCAUUACUGCGAGUGGUGCCAGUGCCGAAGGGAAGCCGUUAAGCUCGCCAUCUGGGGAGUACGGUCGCAAGGCUUAAACUUAAAGGAAUUGGCGGGGGAGCACCACAACGGGUGGAGCCUGCGGUUC